Molecule: long non-coding RNA, 201 nt
Filed under: Nicotiana benthamiana
Lineage: Eukaryota; Viridiplantae; Streptophyta; Magnoliopsida; Solanales; Solanaceae
Description: long non-coding RNA (NBEN_LNC012777)
Source: RNAcentral
GAGCAUUGUGAGGUAUAGUUUCUGAAUAUGAAAUUUAUCCAGUCUACAUAUAUUUUGCAAUCUGCCAAAUAGAUCUCCCUGAAGCUUCUGGCUCUCCAACAUCAUAGUUCUGCUUUCCAGUAUCUUCCUGACAACCCAAGAAGCUGAUUUUGGAAUGAUUACUGUGGCAAUGUCACCCUGUUUGAUGUAGUAAGAGUGAAC